Molecule: small nuclear RNA, 107 nt
Filed under: Salvator merianae (Argentine black and white tegu)
Lineage: Eukaryota; Metazoa; Chordata; Lepidosauria; Squamata; Teiidae
Source: RNAcentral
GUGCUCACUUNGGCGGCACAUGUACUAAAACUGGAAUGAAACAGGGAAGUUUAGCAUGGUCCCCACGCAAGGAUGACGUGCAAAUUCGUGAGGCAUUCCAUAAGUUA